CACGUAGGCACCAAGCGUUAUCCGGAUUUAUUGGGCGUAAAGAGCUCGUAGGCGGUUCGGUAAGUCGGGUGUGAAAACUCUGGGCUCAACCCAGAGAGGCCACCCGAUACUGCUGUGACUAGAGUGCGGUAGGGGAGCGGGGAAUUCCUGGUGUAGCGGUGAAAUGCGCAGAUAUCGGGAGGAACACCGGUGGCGAAGGCGGUUCUCUGGGCCUUACCUGACGCUGAGGAGCGAAAGCGUGGGGAGCGAACAGG
Molecule: ribosomal RNA, 254 nt
Filed under: uncultured bacterium
Lineage: Bacteria
Description: partial 16S ribosomal RNA
Rfam family: Bacterial small subunit ribosomal RNA
Source: RNAcentral